UAAAGUAGUUUACAAUAUAUAUUAUUUAAGAUUUUAAUAUUUAUAAAAAUAUUGGAUUCUGUGUUUAUAUGUAAACUGUUUAUACUUAAACCAUCAUUUUUAGAAACUUCGAUAUAUUUAGACUGGUACCCGUAAAAAUAUUUAAACUAAGACCCUAUACCAAAGUUUACCCUAUAACGUCAUCCCGUUAGCAUAGAAUUCUAUAUAGGUUUGGAAACGUACAUCAAAAGCUCAACAUAAACUUUCCUCGGUCUCCGAUUUGGGGUAAAUCGAAACAAGAAACUGUAAAGUACCUUUUAAAGUCUUAGAUAAUAUUGUUAAAAGAGGAUUAAUUACUAUAGUCAGUGGAUUAAGCACAUCAGACACGUGGCCACGUAAAUCCGAAACAAAUCUUUUUCUUCCAAGUCUUGAACUCGAAUAAUAAUUGGUUGGUCGAUAUCAUAAUCUGAUUAAUGAAAAUAAUUAAAAUAAAAAGGUAAUAAUGUGGUACUUGGUUUUCAUAAGAGGCCAAAUUUUGAAACAAUAAACAAUGUGCCAAAGAAUAUUUGUGGGCAUCAUUAGUAGGCAAAACUCCAAAGAAACCAGCUAGAACCACACACGGACACGCUCACAUACAUCCAUGUAUACAGGUAUUUGUCUUACAUAUAAUAUUACACUUCUUAAUUAAUUUUCGCCGCAAUUUAACAUGUUAUAUGGUCAAGAAUGUCGUAGACAAUUCCAAUAAAAUGAAUUCUCAUUUUAGUAAGAAAUAUGCAUUUUCUAUAAACCUGAAACAAUGUGAACAAAUGGAACUGCACAUUUUGAAAAAAGAAAUUAAAAUAUAUUUUUUAACAAAACAUAACAAAGAAAUAUCGUGAAAAUUCAUUAUUAAAAUGUUUAUUCGUCUAUUAUAGCAUCAAGAUUUAAAAUUCUAAAAUCCAUACUACUAACAAUAGGGAACCUAAAUGUGUUGUUUCAAUACAUAAUAAUUUUUUUUAACGUUUUUCGUCCGUUGAUUUUCACACACUGCAAUCUAUUUUAUAUUCUCCAGUUCCGUUUUUAUUCGAUAGCUGGUUUGCUAUCCAUGAAGCUCACAAGAUUCAUCACUUUUUCUUGCGCAUCACCAUCACUUUUCUCAUAUAUAUCAAUUAUCAAAUAUUGUCAGUUCGUUACGGAUUAAAUAAGAUUAGCUAUAAUAUGAUUAUAUGAACAAGCCCUGAAAAACGAAAAAACAUUAUGGGGAUAUAAAGAAAAAGAAUACACGGACUAAUAAACCAUCAAAGUUUCACUAGAUCUUUUAUAAAAUACGUUUCGUGAGUCCAAAGUUCAAAAUCUUGAAUAUGCUUACGUGUGCUGGUUAAUGCGAGGGCAUGUGUGUUUUCAGGACCACUUUUGCAUAUAGUUUUUACCCGUAACAAACAUAACUUAUCUUAUUUAAAGUAAUCAACAACGCAUGAAAAUGUUCUAUACGAUAAGAUUAAAAUGAAAAUGAUUACACUUCAAAUCCAUAUGAAAAUGACGACAGGCGUGACGAUAUUGUUCCAGACAUGUAUAGAAAGAUAUUAAAAUAUUGUCAAGUGCUUUUCGAUCGUCUUUGCUUUUGUAUCUAAAAUACAAAUAUAUGUCCGACGACUCCAGUCGGUGUUGGCUAGUCUAGACGUUUAGUAGAUAAGUUAGAAUCUAAGUGUUGCGUCUGAAUAUUGAAUGUAUUAUUUUAGACUUCCUUUCUGAAAUGUAGAGUAAUCGAAGGAUGAAUUAGAAAUAAACGAUAAAAUGGGAUGUAUCCUGUAGAUUUCGAUAAAUUUUAGAUUCAUAAAGUUGUUUAAAAAAAAUUCUAACAUCUCUGAGACUUACAAAGUUACGUCUGAAUGAGACAGGCGAAAGUAGUUUCAAGUCUAGAUUCAGUGUCCCUCUAAACAUACAAAGUCCUCCCUGAACAAUGACAGCCCCUUCCAUUAUUUCUUGUAGCAUACAUAUACGCUAAUAAAUACUAGAAAAAUAUUAAUGAAACUCCAAACUUGAUAGGACUAACUAGAAAUUUUUGUUUGAUUAUUUUUAUUUUACCAAAAUUGUGUGAUCUAGAUCGAUACUAUACAUAUUGAGAUGGAUAUGACAUUCUUCAUAUGCACCAUCAGUUUUAGCUCAAUUCAGAAUAUCAUAGUACACAAAAUCAUGUGAUAUAGGAUACACGACACGCCUUUAACUUGUACUGUCCUAUAAAAUUGCGAACAUUAAGUUACAUGGGCAGUUCCUCCACGUCCUCCUUCUCAGGGAGAGAGUCUUUCCAUCUAAAUCCUUCUUUGUAAGCGGUGACCUUCUCCCAGAAUCUAAAAGUGGGAAUUUUUUUUGAAUCUUCUAACUGUUUGUUAUUUUGUCUUAAGGUUUACUUGGGGCCGUAGAUGCAACGAUUCAUUCUCAUUCGUAUGAGAUUCGAGGUUUUGGAUGAUAUUGUGACGUCACAUGUUUCUGUGACUAAUCAUCUGUUAUUUGAAGAAAUUGAAGUGA
This is a long non-coding RNA of Brassica rapa (field mustard), 2484 nucleotides long. RefSeq lists it as uncharacterized. The record is from RefSeq and is a predicted model, not a curated record. Lineage: Eukaryota; Viridiplantae; Streptophyta; Magnoliopsida; Brassicales; Brassicaceae.